UUGACCUCGGAUCAGGUAGGGAUACCCGCUGAACUUAAGCAUAUCAAUAAGCGGAGGAAAAGAAACCAACAGGGAUUGCCCCAGUAACGGCGAGUGAAGCGGCAAGAGCUCAAAUUUGAAAGCUGGCUCCUUCGGGGUCCGCAUUGUAAUUUGUAGAGGAUGCUUCGGGAGCGGUCCCCAUCUAAGUGCCCUGGAACGGGACGUCAUAGAGGGUGAGAAUCCCGUAUGGGAUGGGGUGUCCGCGCCCGUGUGAAGCUCCUUCGACGAGUCGAGUUGUUUGGGAAUGCAGCUCUAAAUGGGUGGUAAAUUUCAUCUAAAGCUAAAUAUUGGCCGGAGACCGAUAGCGCACAAGUAGAGUGAUCGAAAGAUGAAAAGCACUUUGAAAAGAGAGUUAAAAAGCACGUGAAAUUGUUGAAAGGGAAGCGCUUGCGACCAGACUCGCUCGCGGGGUUCAGCCGGCAUUCGUGCCGGUGUACUUCCCCGCGGGCGGGCCAGCGUCGGUUUGGGCGGUCGGUCAAAGGCCCUCGGAAGGUAACGCCCCUAGGGGCGUCUUAUAGCCGAGGGUGCAAUGCGACCUGCCUAGACCGAGGAACGCGCUUCGGCUCGGA
Molecule: ribosomal RNA, 608 nt
Filed under: Penicillium chrysogenum
Lineage: Eukaryota; Fungi; Ascomycota; Eurotiomycetes; Eurotiales; Aspergillaceae
Description: eukaryotic LSU rRNA
Rfam family: Eukaryotic large subunit ribosomal RNA
Source: RNAcentral